GAUGAACGCUGGCGGCGUGCUUAACACAUGCAAGUCGAACGGUGAAGCAGAGCUUGCUCUGUGGAUCAGUGGCGAACGGGUGAGUAACACGUGAGCAACCUGCCCCGGACUCUGGGAUAAGCGCUGGAAACGGCGUCUAAUACCGGAUACGAGAUGCCACCGCCUGGUGAGUUUCUGGAAAGAUUUUUUGGUCUGGGAUGGGCUCACGGCCUAUCAGCUUGUUGGUGAGGUAAUGGCUCACCAAGGCGUCGACGGGUAGCCGGCCUGAGAGGGUGACCGGCCACACUGGGACUGAGACACGGCCCAGACUCCUACGGGAGGCAGCAGUGGGGAAUAUUGCACAAUGGGCGGAAGCCUGAUGCAGCAACGCCGCGUGAGGGAUGACGGCCUUCGGGUUGUAAACCUCUUUUAGCAGGGAAGAAGCGAAAGUGACGGUACCUGCAGAAAAAGCGCCGGCUAACUACGUGCCAGCCGCCGCAGUAA
Molecule: ribosomal RNA, 483 nt
Filed under: uncultured bacterium
Lineage: Bacteria
Description: partial 16S ribosomal RNA
Rfam family: Bacterial small subunit ribosomal RNA
Source: RNAcentral